Molecule: ribosomal RNA, 580 nt
Filed under: uncultured bacterium
Lineage: Bacteria
Description: partial 16S ribosomal RNA
Rfam family: Bacterial small subunit ribosomal RNA
Source: RNAcentral
UGAGGAAUAUUGGUCAAUGGUCGCAAGACUGAACCAGCCAUGCCGCGUGCAGGAAGACGGUCCUAUGGAUUGUAAACUGCUUUUAUACAGGAAGAAACCCUCCCACGUGUGGGAGCUUGACGGUACUGUAGGAAUAAGGAUCGGCUAACUCCGUGCCAGCAGCCGCGGUAAUACGGAGGAUCCAAGCGUUAUCCGGAAUCAUUGGGUUUAAAGGGUCCGUAGGCGGUCUUAUAAGUCAGUGGUGAAAGCCCAUCGCUCAACGAUGGAACUGCCAUUGAUACUGUAAGACUUGAAUGCUUAGGAAGUAACUAGAAUAUGUAGUGUAGCGGUGAAAUGCUUAGAUAUUACAUGGAAUACCAAUUGCGAAGGCAGGUUACUACUAAGUGAUUGACGCUGAUGGACGAAAGCGUGGGGAGCGAACAGGAUUAGAUACCCUGGUAGUCCACGCCGUAAAACGAUGGAUACUAGCUGUUCGGCGCAAGUUGAGUGGCUAAGCGAAAAGUGAUAAGUAUCCCACCUGGGGAGUACGCACGCAAGUGUGAAAACUCAAAUGAAUUGACGGGGUCAUAGCUGUUUCCUG